AAGUCGUAACAAGGUUUCCGUAGGUGAACCUGCGGAAGGAUCAUUAAUGAAAGAUAAUUUUUUGGGGUUUUAAAUUCCAAAAAAUAAUUCACCUUUUGUGCAUUGUUAUUAGAUAUACUUUGGUUAGAGCUUUGAUUUCAUUUAUUGGAAUCAACUUCUUGCUGACUCUAUCCUUUCUGAGGACAGUUGGCUAUGAAGCGGCCUACCAAGGUUUUUUAUCAAACUCUUGUAUUUUGUCUGACCUAAACUAUUAUAAUUAAAUCAUAACUUUCAACAACGGAUCUCUUGGCUCUC
Molecule: unclassified non-coding RNA, 294 nt
Filed under: fungal sp.
Lineage: Eukaryota; Fungi
Description: partial internal transcribed spacer region
Rfam family: Eukaryotic small subunit ribosomal RNA (bases 1-46)
Source: RNAcentral